RNAcentral lists this ribosomal RNA (468 nucleotides) under uncultured bacterium. RNAcentral's name for it is "partial 16S ribosomal RNA". It matches the Rfam family "Bacterial small subunit ribosomal RNA", at positions 28 to 507 of the family's 1533-position model. The record is from RNAcentral.
GACGAACGCUGGCGGCGUGCUUAACACAUGCAAGUCGAACGGUGAAGCUCCAGCUUGCUGGAGUGGAUCAGUGGCGAACGGGUGAGUAACACGUGAGCAACCUGCCCCUGACUCUGGAAUAAGCGCUGGAAACGGCGUCUAAUACUGGAUACGAGAAGGGCCCGCAUGGGCACUUUCUGGAAAGUUUUUCGGUUGGGGAUGGGCUCGCGGCCUAUCAGCUUGUUGGUGAGGUAAUGGCUCACCAAGGCGACGACGGGUAGCCGGCCUGAGAGGGCGACCGGCCACACUGGGACUGAGACACGGCCCAGACUCCUACGGGAGGCAGCAGUGGGGAAUAUUGCACAAUGGGCGAAAGCCUGAUGCAGCGACGCCGCGUGAGGGAUGACGGCCUUCGGGUUGUAAACCUCUUUCAGCAGGGAAGAAGCGAAAGUGGCGGUACCUGCAGAAGAAGCACCGGCUAACUACGUG